RNAcentral lists this small RNA (26 nucleotides) under Bombyx mori (domestic silkworm). RNAcentral's name for it is "ovarian small RNA-34971". The record is from RNAcentral. Lineage: Eukaryota; Metazoa; Arthropoda; Insecta; Lepidoptera; Bombycidae.
UGGGAACAGACACAGAUGGCCAGUCA